This 2414-nucleotide long non-coding RNA is filed under the name Heterocephalus glaber (naked mole-rat). Its description in RNAcentral is "lncRNA (ENSHGLG00000036150.1)". Lineage: Eukaryota; Metazoa; Chordata; Mammalia; Rodentia; Bathyergidae. The record is from RNAcentral.
CCUCAACCCAGCGAGGUCAACAUGUUCUUUAUUUAAUUAGUCUUUUAGGCAUUUAAAAGCACACGCAUAUUUAAAAGAAAAGGUCUAUUAUAAAGGAGAUGUAAAGUCAACUGGAAUACUUAAUCAUCAAAAUUCAAUUUUAUUCUUCUUCCUCUCUCCCUUUGUUUUAGGGGGAAAUAGGUUUUGUGCACGAUUUGGGGGUGAGCAAUAGGACGGGGUAGAAAUGACCACAAGGAUUUGUUGACUUGUUUUCAAGGAGAUGGGGAACUGCAGUCUUAGCGGGUGGCUGCGCCCAGGUAAGGGUGAAAUACAGAAAGCGUUGGGCCACCUACCAGCAAAAGUUUCCACAGGGCGCGGGCCACUCCUUAGCUAGCCGGGGCCGCGCCUCCAGGACCUUAGUCCCGAAAAUGAACGCCGCAGGGUCGACUGGUCGGGGCGCACGAAGCAUCAGCUCGGCCUUGUGGCCGGACCGGGUGUCUCGGAAGGCGGGCUGAUCCCAGGCCAGUCCGCGGGAUUAGGAGUGGUCACCCUAAACCAGGAGAGGGCAGGGUGGGAGUGUGCGCGGCGUCGCGAUGCAGACUCAUCCGGAGGUCUCAGCACCCGAAAAUGUGGAGGUGGCAGCUUCUGCAGAGAAAGAGAAACCAGCAGCCAGGCUCCUGGUGCCAGCUUGUCUUCAGAGAGAAAAGAAGCCUUAGGGGUACAGACUGCAAGUUAUGAAGUCUCCACCAAGGGGGGAAAAGUAGCAUCUGAACUGUCGCUGUGAAGAAAUUGUUUGCAGGUAUUCUGAUUCAGCACAUCAGGCCAGGUGUCUGAGCGACUGCAUUUCUCGAAAGCUCCCAGAGAUGUGCUGUGGCUGCUUUGUGUCCCAUCAUCCCCUGAGGAGCAGCUCUGAAUCAGUUCACUCACCAUCUUGGUCCCCACAAUUCCCACAGUUUUGAAAGAAAGCCAAGACCCUGGAACUGUAGCUCUCACAAUUUCUGAUACAUCUAAAUCACCUUGAAGGCUCAUUUUAGAAUGCAAAUUCCAAGGCCUUGACCUGGAAGAUUCUGAUUCACCACUGCUACUUCCCUGCAUGCCUAGACCUAAGCCUGGCUGUAGCACAGCUAUGCCAUCAGGUCCUCCCAGCUCCUGAGCCUGUCCUCCGGCCAUACCCCUUUGCUUGCAAAAAGCCUGAUUUGGUGGCCUUCUUCUCUUUGAAUGUCCUUUGCUGGUUCUCAUGAUUGUCUAGUUUUUUAUCUCUGCUCAGAUGUCUCUUCCUCAGAGGGGUUUUCCCUGACCACAGUCUAAGGUAAUGCUUUCUGCCACAGUCACUGUCCCUGUGCUUUCUUGCCUUCCUUCCCAGUUCCUGUUACUCUCUGGAAUAAUCUUGUCCCUGCAUCUGCUUAUUGGUUUGCUGUCUGUCUUCCAUGGCAACAGGAACUUUACCUGCCUUGUUUUCCACACUGAAUUCUCAGUACCUAGCACAGUGCUGGAGAACUGAAUGAAUGAAUGAAUGCACCCUAGUGGAGAAAGAAGGUGUAAAGUAAACAGUGACAUGAAUUCUGGCCUUGGAAAUUUAAGACUUCAGAGUGAAGCAGAAGUGAGCAUCUCAUGAACAAAGGAUCCUAAGAAUAGAAAAGGAUUCAUCAUGAUUCCUUCAGGGUGUGGAAGAAAAUUAAGUUAGGAAUAGAAGAUGUAGAAUACAAAAUUCAUUGUCCUUCCUCUGUAUUUCAUUUUAAAAUGAUAAAAAUAUAUGUUCCUGGUAGGCAAUUUGGGAAAACAGAAAAAUUUAAGAAAGUAUAUACCACAUUAACUGACCACCCAUGGGUAACUUUGGUUUUCAUUUUUGUGUUUUUCCUUUUAAAUUAUUGUAAAUGUUUUCAAAUAUGUGUGUCUUAUAUACACAUAUAUAUGGCACAUAUACUUUCAUGUUCUGCUCUUUUAUUAUUUCACAUUAUAGGAUGAGCAUAUUCUUGUACCUACAAAGUGCCUUUAAAACAUACUUUUAAUUGGUGUUUAAUACUCCAUUAUAUGAUGGAAAUGCAUUAUAUAUUUGUUUUACUUUUUGUUCAGAAGAGCACUCUUGGUACUGGCUUUCUUUAAAGUGGAAUAGAAAUGUCUAAUAAAAGAUUUUUCACCUUGAUGAGAAUAGUGAUUGUCAACCAAGUUGAUUUUGCCCCUGAGUAGGCAUUUGGCUGUGUCCAGAGACAGUUUUGCUUGUCAUAACUGGGAGAGGGCAUUGGCAUAUUGUGGGUGAAGGCCAGGGAUGCCGCCAAAUCUCCCACAACACUUAGGACUGGCCCUACAACAAAGAAUUGCCGACCUAAAUGUCAACAGUGCUGGGGGUUGAGAAACUUGCUAUCCAGGCCAGUGUCAGGGUUAAUAUUCAACAUCCACUUAAAAUUCAAAUUCACAUUCUGCCAUUAAUAUACAGG